Molecule: ribosomal RNA, 334 nt
Filed under: uncultured bacterium
Lineage: Bacteria
Description: bacterial SSU rRNA
Rfam family: Bacterial small subunit ribosomal RNA
Source: RNAcentral
CACGCCGUAAACGAUGAAGUGCUAAGUGUUAGAGGGUUUCCGCCCUUUAGUGCUGCAGCUAACGCAUUAAGCACUCCGCCUGGGGAGUACGGUCGCAAGACUGAAACUCAAAGGAAUUGACGGGGGCCCGCACAAGCGGUGGAGCAUGUGGUUUAAUUCGAAGCAACGCGAAGAACCUUACCAGGUCUUGACAUCCUCUGACAACUCUAGAGAUAGAGCGUUCCCCUUCGGGGGACAGAGUGACAGGUGGUGCAUGGUUGUCGUCAGCUCGUGUCGUGAGAUGUUGGGUUAAGUCCCGCAAAGAGCGCAACCCUUGAUCCUGGUUGCCAGCAUU